This is a non-coding RNA of Podarcis lilfordi (Lilford's wall lizard), 90 nucleotides long. NCBI's taxonomy places the organism in Eukaryota, Metazoa, Chordata, Lepidosauria, Squamata, Lacertidae. The record is from the annotation of a GenBank genome assembly.
UGGCCUGCUUCUGGUUGGAAGACUAGUGAUUUUGUUGUUGUGACGUAUAGAGAAGACAACAAAUCACAGCCUACCAUCCAGCACAGGCCC